This 26-nucleotide non-coding RNA is filed under the name Mus musculus (house mouse). Lineage: Eukaryota; Metazoa; Chordata; Mammalia; Rodentia; Muridae. The record is from RNAcentral.
UGUAAUAUGUACAGAUAGUCCCACUU